Molecule: long non-coding RNA, 13344 nt
Organism: Equus caballus (horse)
Lineage: Eukaryota; Metazoa; Chordata; Mammalia; Perissodactyla; Equidae
Source: Ensembl
CGCUGGGGCCACAGCGGGGGUCCAUAGCGCCUCUUCCCUCCCUCCGUCCUUGGCCAUUUGCCCUUUGGAAUCUAUUAGUGAGCUCUGCCAUUGUUUUUCUGAUUUCAUUAAAAAUGCCACCAAGACACAUGCUCUGCAGCAUGCCACUUCAGUCCUAAGUGGGGCAUUUUUGCUAGAUGAAUCGAUUUCUUAAAUGACAGCAUCUGUUUGCUUGUACACAUUUAUUUAUAAUUCUUCCCUUGGCAAUUAGAGCUGGGGAAUCAGUGAGCGGCAACCAGCUGUUUGAAUUAGCGGGGAAGGGGGGCAGAGAUUUGAUCUGUGAAGGAGAACCAAAGCCCUGGCCGGAAGCGAUAAAAACAGAACAGAUGUCCCCAGAUACACAGUCGUGGGGAGGAACUUGUAAAUCACAUUCACUGCCGGCCCCAGAGAGAUGGCAGCUGAGCUGGAGGAGCCAGAAAAUCCAUGACGGUGGGUGGCUGUGUCUGACUCCCCCUGGGACUCAAGGAGAUUGAUGGAUUCGGGGGCGGGGGGCAGUGGAGUAGCUGAGGGAGUGGAAUUUGGUGAGUUGGAUCCUCUGGUGAUCCCCAUUGCACUCAGGGGAAACCCAAAGUCCUUACUACGGUCCACAAGGCCCUAUGGAUACGGGCGCUGUUACUCCUCUGCCCUCACUCCCUUCUGCUCUCUGCCUGCCUCACUCAGUCUGCUCCAGCCACCACGGCUCCUCGCUGCUCCUAGAACGUGCUGGCUGCUCCCCCUCCUCAGGGCCUCUGAGGUGCCGGCGUCCCCUGUCUGGAGCUCUCCUUCUCCAUCUCCUCUCCACGGGGCUCGCUCUCACUCCUCUUUCAAAUCCGAGCUCCAACGUCACUUCUCAGAACCUGCUAGUUAACACUGCGCCUCAAGCAUCCUCUUCUCUCUUCCCGAGUUUAAUUUUCUCCCGGGUACUCACAACCUUUCUAACUCAACGUACAUCUUUUACAAGUUUAUUUUCUGUCUGCUUCAUGGAAGCUUCAUGAUGGCAGGGACCUCAUCUAUCUUGCUCACUGCUGAACUGUGCUUGGCCCACAGUAGGUGCUCUGUAAAUAUCGGCCGAUUCAAUGGAAGGAUUUUUCAUAUGGGGGAACACAUCGCCCCUUUUUACUCCCCCCUCUGCAACUUGGGGAUGGGUCACAGCUCAGUUCACUGAGGGUGGCUCCCUGAGGACACCGACUCUGUAUUCUUGAUCUCCGUAGCUCCCCAGGGCCCAGCCCAGAGUCUGGCACACAGUAGGUGUGUAAUAAAUAGUUGUUGAAUAAAGAGAUGACUAAAUGACCCAGGCUGACGCUCAACAAUGCUCAAGGCAAAAAUGAGGCCUCAUCCAGAUGCCCUCUUUUAUUCCCUUGCCGGCAGCAGCGAGUCUGACCAGCAGCGCCUGUAAAGUAUGCCUUGCAUGCGAGCACGUCUGCAGUUCCCCCCUUAGUACCCUGGCCUGAGCCGCUUCACUUCCUCCCAGACAGGUGCAACAGCUCCUAACCGGGCCCCGUUGCCACUCUCGCGCCCCCUACAGUCUGUUCUUCGCACAGCGGCAAGAGUGAGUUCAUAGAACUGUCAAUCAGAUCGCGCCAACUGGGGCUCACCACCCUCCAAAAGAGGCUUGUUCCACACCCAGACUCCGCCCUGCGCCGCCUGGUCGUGCGCGCGUGCCUGGCUCCUCGGCCCUCCCUCUCCGCGCUGGGCCACACUGGUCUCCUCUGAACGUCGCUUGGAGCCUCUGUGCUUGCUCUUCCUCUUCCUGGAAAGCCUUCUCCCUAGUUGGUUCCACGCCGGCUCCUUUAUCCUUCAGAACUUAGAGCUUCUUGGAAGAACUAAGAGGCGGCAGGGGAUUCAAGGCACCACUGAACGUCUUGGAGCAACAGUGGGGAGAAGGGACCCCUCCCAGACUGCGGAGAAACUUCCCUCGGCUGGGGCAGGGGAGCGGGGGUGUGCUGGGGUAGGGGAGGGGAGAGAGGGGGUGUGCUGGGGCAGGGGAGGGGAGAGAGGGGGUGUGCUGGGCAGGGGAGGGGAGAGAGGGGGUGUGCUGGGCAGGGGAGGGGAGAGAGGAGGUGUGCUGGGCAGGGGAGAGGAGGGAGGAGUAUGUUGGAGCCUGAGCUGUAGGCCCUGCGCUCUCUUUCCAGCACCCCUUGGGGAGGCAGCAAGGCCCAAGAAGAGGCUGCCUCUAAGGCUAGAGACCCCAACUCAGCCCCCUUGGGGCUAUGCUUGGUUUGCCCUAUGCAGUGUUUUAAUUUUUUUUAAUUAGUUGCCAACAUUUAAGAGAUUGGAUAUUACAGAUUUCUCUUGACAAUUUGGAUCCAGUUGUGCAGCCUGUCUUGAAACAGAGAUCUGGCAGGCCUGGGCCUGCCCUCCCGUGAGGCUGCAGCCGUGGGCCCUGGCAUGCACUUGCUCUGGCCCCAUGGCCCCCACUUCUUGCUGCUGGGUCACAGCCAGUCCACUUGGUUCCUUCCCUGACUGGUCCGGCCCCUGUGGGCAUCUGAGUUCUUGAGCUGUGGCUGAUGGUGGCAGAGGCAGCUUCAGGGAAUUCUCUGGGUCCCAAGCCUGUUCCAAAAGCAACAGUGUGGACCGAUGACUCACACCUGCUGAAACUGUCUCCACUGGGCACUGUGUAAAACCCACGAACCGAGGCCCAACCCCAGAAAGGAGAGGGGACGCCGAGAAGGACGGGAGUUUACUUUAUGCUGGCACAGCAAAGUGGAGGGCAAGAGUCGGAGAUUCGGUGGGUUACAGAGAAUUUUUAAAAACUGGUAUAUUUCUUGAGCAACCCAACCUGUGGAUGAGAUGGGAGGCUGCGCCGCACAGGUUCACUGGGUACAGUUCACCCCCCAAAGACGCAAAUCCCGUGCUUAGGAGGGCUUUAUCGCAUGACAGGCACAGUGGUGAGCCCUUUCUGUUCUCACACUUGAGUGUGCAUCAGUCACCUGGCAGGCCUGUUAAAACAGAUUGCUGGGCGCACCCGAGUGUCUGAGUCAGCGGAUCUAGAGUGGAGCCCCAGAAUUGUUGCCUUUCUAACAAGCUCCCAGGUGAUGCUGCUGCUGCUGACACUGGGGACGACUCUUCAAGAACCACUCAUUUAGAGACUCAUCUUCAGCAGUUCUCACCAUCUUAGUAGGUAGGGUCUAUCAUCUCCUUUUUAAAGAAGACAAGGUUAAUUGGCUCAGGGCCACAAGAGUUUGGGCCCGGGUCUGUCUGCCUGAGCUCCUAACCGCCGUCCGCUUGCGUUGCCUUUCCUGUGAAGCCAAGCCGGCCACAAACACUCACAUCCCUCAUCUUGCGGAGGUGCUGGGUCUGAGGGAAAGGCUGGGUGGGGUGGAGGUGGGAGGGCCUACGCCUGACUCCUCGCUGAGGUGGAGAGAGUAAUAGCAAUAGCUUACACGUCAUGGUGUUCACCAGGUGCCGCGCACCCUUCUAAGCUUUCCGUGCUUCACUCCUCCAGGCAUCCCGCUGCAGUAGGCACCUGAUCCCAUCACCUCUCUUUUACAGAGGAGGAAGCCAGCUCCACUCCACCCGACUGGCAGGCUGGGAGGGGCUGAGCUCCCCGUGAGGCUCUCUGGGCGCCGUCUGGAAGUGAGGACACCUCUUGUCCCUUUCACUGGCCAGAGCUCAGUCACGUGGUCACACCUUACUGCGAGGGAUGCUGGGAGAUAGUCCGUCUGUGCACCCAGGGGAAACUGGAAAUGGGAUUUGCUGAUUUCAAGGCAGGCUCUGCUUAGGCUCUGUCGUGCAUAAUGCCAUUUUCACCUCAGAAGGAGAUGUUAUUAACAUGGUCGCACAGCGGCUGGACUGGAGUUCCAUCUGGGCCUCCUGGCUCCUAAGCACAAUGCUAGCUGGCCUCCCGUGGAAGGAGCCGGGAAACAGGACAGAGAAGUCUAGGAACAGGGAGAUGAUAUUGUCAACCAGGCCCCCAUCAUCUGGGAAAGGGACGCUACAUCAGAGGCGGGGCCUGGAGCCUGACCUUUGGUGUCAUUCUGAGCUGUGUGGCACUGGGGAAGUCACUUCUCUCUGAGCCUUGGUUCUUUGUAAUACCAAGAUGAUGACACCUAUCUAGCCAGGUUACUUGUGAGGGUAAAAUAAGAUAACACAGCCGACCGGGGCAGGCACUCAAUAUGUGUUAAUUCAAUCUGAAUUAAAAUCUGCAUCCGGGCUUCUCACCCCUGACUGCACAUUUGAAUCCCCUGGAGAGUUUUUAAAAAUGCAGCACGCCAGAUGCCUACCCUCGGAGGUUCUGCUUUGUUCGUAUGGGGUGAGGUCGGGGCAGAGGUGUCUUCUAAAACGUCUCCCUGGGCGUUUUACUUUGCAGGCAGCCUCGAGAAGCACCUUCUGUGACAAUGAGUUUCAAUCAGAAUGGACCAACUCAUAGGUCCUCCCUACUUAAGAAGUGAAGGGGUCCAGGGUCUCUAAUUGCGACAAGGCGUUUAGGGUUGGGCUGGGGUUGACCUUGAGAUCCGAUGGGGAGCCACCGCGUCCACCAAGCGGGCAGGCAAGUCAGGAGCAGGAAAGGCCUGAUGCAUUUCAUCCACAUCUCGGCCGAGGAAGAGCACGAAAAGGUGCCAUGAACAGAGGCCGGCUCUUCAUCAGCGUGCCCCUGGCCCCGGAUUCUUCUCUCCACCAUCUGCUCUGCAAGACUGGCAGGUCCCAAAACUUACAAACAGCCCCGUCCUGUACUUCCAUGUAAAACAGUGGAGCACCCUAAUUCCCGGGCUAUUACCAGUCAAACAGCUUUCUGCCAGCUCAGGUGACACGUGGCAGUUGGCAUUUGAACAGGUCAUUUUGCAGGACCAGCAAGAGACAGUAAGUCCCACCUUGGGGCUAUUACUCCGAGAGAGAGAGAGAGAGGAAUGGCUACAAGCUUGCGACUUUGGUGAUUUGUCUGGUGUUUCCCUCGAGAGGAGGGGAGAGGGCAGGGCCUGCAGUGGCAGGUCAUUUGUUUAUUUAACAGGGCAUUUACCAUGUGCCAGGCACAUCGGACUUCACUAAGUGCUUUGCAAAUGUUAAUUCCGUUGAAUCCCCACCACAACCUCAUGAGGUUGGUACUGUUAUUAUCUUCAUUUUACAGAUGGGGAAACUGAGGCACAAAGCGCUAAGUAAAUGGCUCAAGGCUCUACAGCUGGUGAGUGGCAGAUCUGGGAUUCAGUGGAUGGACGUGGCCUCCAAGGCAUCGUGAUGGAGAGUGGAAAGGACAACAUGGCCCCUGCAUUCUUGGAGCUGACAUACCCCUGGGGGGGGGUGGUGAAUGACAGUAAGCAAUUAGACAGAUAUACUAGAUGCUUUCAGAUUGUGACAGUGCUUUGAAGGCAUCCCCGAGCAGGUGGCAUUUUAAGUAAAAAGAUGUGGCUAUCCAGAGGAAGAAUGAUUCAGCCAGAGGGGACAGCAAGUGCAAAGGCCCUGAGGUAGGAACUGGCUUGGCUUGCUGAAGGAACAGCAAGAGCUUGAGGAGUAAAGGGAGUGUGGGGGGAGAUGAACAGGAGAGGCGGCUGUGACAAGGCAUCUGGAUGGUAUUAAGAACAACGGGCAGCUGCUGGAGGAUGUUGAGCAGGAGAGUAACUGGGUUUGAGCUGCAUUUUGCUGUAACGGCUCUGGCUGCUGGGUGGAGAAAGGACGGUGAGGGGUUGGAGGGGAUCAGGGAAGCCGGUCAGGAGGACAUUGCUUGUGCUUGUGCAGGCAGAAGUGAAGAUGUGCGGGCCAGGAGGGGAGCAGUGGAAUCGGUGUGAAGUGCAUGGAUCUGGGGAAUGAGUUAGGCAUAGAGUGAUGGAAUUUGCCCUGGCUAAGAGGUGGGGUGGGGGUCGAGGACAGGCCACCCUACUGUUGGCCGGCCUGGGGCAGGAGCACAAAAGGAGGCUGCAUACCCUGGUGUAAUCUUCAGAAGUCAGACCACUAGUAAAUGAAAUAUAUGCUGCCCCCCUGUCCCGGAAGUGUCUCUUUGUAGGGACCUGGGAGGCCAGGCUCACGUUGGGACUCCUGUGUCUCCUUGGGUUCUCCUGCAACGUGGUAGCCAAGGGAGGCUGGGGCAGUGUCCUCUGAGGUGUGGGGCCCUCUGGCCUGGCUGUAGGAGCUGCACUGGGCUGGGGAAAGGGAGGGAUCAGACAAGCCUAGGUUUUCGGCUUGAGUAAGUUUUAGCCCAAGCUCACCCGCCAUUGUGAAGAUUAAAAGUGUUUUUUUAAGGCUUCCCUCCUCCGAGGCUGAGAUCCUUGCCCUUCCUCUUCUCCCUCAAGCCUCUGCUUGUGGAGGUUUAAUGCAGGUGGACCUUUGCGACCGACUCUGUGACCUCAGCUGGUUUCUAGGCCUCUUCUAGCCUUGGGAUACUCAGCUGUGUAUUGGACCACUGAUACCUUCUUUCUACCUGCCAGCCACUUAGUGAGAGAGACAAUGCCCGAAAAAUGCAUGAGGCAGAGACAGCUGUACAGUCACCAGAAUCCCUUCCCUUUUCCCUCUGGGCACAUGGCCUGCGUUUCCCGUCCCCCAUGCUGUUGAAUGUGGCCAUGUGAGUGAGUUGUGGCCGGUGGAGUGUUGGCAUAGGUGAUGUCGUCUCUUGCAAACCAGGCCUACUAGAACCUUCCCCAUGAGACCCUUCCUGCUCUGGCCCUGCCCCUGUCUGCUGGCUGCAUGUGAGGCUCCAGCAGAAGGCUCCGGUACCUUAGAACAGGGCUUGGCAAACUCUGGCCCGCGAGCUGGAUGCUGCCUGCUGCCUGCUUUUGUAAGUGAACUUUUACUGGAACACAGCCCCAUCCAUUCAUUUGUGCAUCGUCUUUUGCUAUACAUUUGUGCUGCAAUAGCAGAGUGACGUAAUCGUGAGAGACUCUAGGACCCACAAAGCCAGAAAUGUUCUCCAUGUGGCCCUUCAUAGACAAGUUUGCUGAGCCUUGUCCUAGAAGAUGGCAGAGCUGCCGGAUGGGAGGAGCUUGUCUCCCUGAGUGACCACAGGGAAGGCCACGUGCCUGACGGGCAUCUCCAUGCUGGACUCUCCAUGAGUGAGAAAUAGCAGUUUAAGUGUGAACGUCCAGUCUCACAUGGUUGUUUGUUACGGGAGCUGGUAUCACUAACCCUAACUGAUACAGUGCCUGGUACAUAGUGAGCCAAGAGCAAACGCUCGCUUCCUCCGGUCCCCAUCAUUUCACACUCUCCAUAAACUCUCGUAUUUGAAAAAGCUCAGAAGAAUGGGAGAGCUUUGUUUAGGCUUCCUUUCCCCUCCGAGCCUUUGCACAACUGUCCCCAACCCUUCUGCCAAGAACAUUCUUUGCCGUUCCUCCCCCCACCCCCCACUGUCUCCCACUGAGCUUCCCGGCUCCCAGGUAGCCACCACUGCUGCCAGGCAGCCUUCCCCUCCCGCUGCGUCCGCAAGACGAGGUAGGGUGCCUCUGCCAUGUGCUCCUAAAUAGCCGUGGAGGCCAGUGUGGUGGCGUGGGCUCAGGCCGCUGGGCUUCAAGUCCUGGCCUGCCACUUAUAAGUCGUGAGACUUUGGGCAAGCGGCUUAACCUGUCUGUGUCGCAAUUUCCUUAGCGGUAAAAUGGCAAUAAUAUCAUCUGUCUCAUGGUGUUGUGGGAAUUAAGUGAAUCGAAGCGCUUGGAAAAAUGUCUGCUACUUGGCAAGGGCUGAAGGAAUGUUAGCUGGAUUCUUCCUGUCAUUCUUUUUUUUUUUUGAAGAUUGGCACCUGAGCUAACCUCUAUCGCCAAUCUUUUUUUCUUCUUCUCCUUCCUCUUCUCUCCAAAGCACCCCCGCCCCGCCCCUGUACGUAGUUGUAGAUUCUAGUUGUAGGUCCCUCUGGUUGUGCUAUGUGGGACGCCGCCUCAGCACGGCUUGAUGAGCGGUGCCAUGUCCAUGUCCAGGAUCUGAACCAGCGAAACCCUGGGCUGCUGAAGUGGAGCGUGCAAACGUAACCACUCGGCCGCAGGGCGCCCUGUCUUCCUGCCAUUCUUAUUGCUGUGCCUGUCCCGGCGCGGCUCCCACGCCCCCACGAGAGCGCUUCCCUUGGCCUGUGAGAUGCUGCCGUGUGGCAGGCUCUGGCACACUGUGCGUGGGGAGUGAGUCCUCUGGGCUUGGGAUGCAGGCUCUGCAGACACGUUGCCGGGCAGCGUCUGGGAGAAGUUUGGGGACUAAGGUGAAGCCGUGGAGCCUGAGCAGUGUCUGCUGGGAGGAGACAGGCUGUAAGCCUUGGAACCCACUCGUAUCAGUCAAGGCUCUUUGUUGCAAACCACAGAGGCCUCUCCGGCAAUCUGAGUUAGAAGGGGAAUAAAAAGUGAUUCCAUAGAUCACAGACCUUCCAGAGGGCUCCCCCCAGACAUGGAAGCUGGACGGGCAGGAGGAAAGCUUAAACUAGACCAUCCGACGGUCCCGGUGGAGACUCUCUCCCUGCCAUCCCCAGCCGGAGGCACCCAUUACACGGGGUUCCCACCGUAAACUCUGCAGCAGCUGCUCUGUAGGCAGGAUGCCUCUCCUGUCCUGUUGGGUGUCCCCUGGACAGAUGGCACAGGCGAGCAUGCGGAGUCUGGGAAAAGGAGCCUCUUGAUGCCAACCCCACCCACCCCUGCCUCAUGGAAUCCUGGGGACCAGAUCCUUUAUUUCAGCCCCUUCUGCUAACAGCACUGGUGGAUAAUAAUACUGAUAACUGACAUUUCUGAAUCCCCGCAGGGCACCAAGCACUGAGCCCUGUGUUUUACAGCGAGGUCUCCCAUUAUCUUCACAAAAAUCCUAGGAAAUAGGUGCUAUUAUGUGCUUCAUUUUACAUAUGAUGGGACCAAGGCUUAGAGAGGUCAAGUAACUUAUCCAGGGUCACAUAGCACAACAGAGAAUUCAAAUCCAAGUGAACUCCAGAGCCCAGAUUCUUGACUGCCACCUCAUACUGCCGUCUUUACUCUCCUGGGAAGCUGCUCGGUGAUUCAGACAAUGGAAAGAAGGAGGGCCUCUGUGCAUUCAUGAAACCUGGUCUGGGCCAAUCUUCUCCUCAGGAAGGGUGUUCCACAGGGAGACGUCAAAAUUGUGCAUUCCAGCUGAAGCAGUGGUGUGGGGGGAUCCCUAGCCUGGGGGACAAUGAGCUCCUGUCAACAAGGCUGAUGACAUCAGUGCUCCAGGAUUCUUCUCCCCGCCCCCCCACUCCAUCCUCCUUUGUCUUCCCUCACUUUCCAUUGUCACAACCUCCAUCAGCACCACCGUCCCUAUUCAUCACGCUCUGCCAUUAUCAGCACCGGCCCACUGUCCUUGUUCUAUUAUGACCACAAUGAUGACCAUCGCCUGUGGCACUACUGCUGUCACCAUACACUACUGUCACCAAGCCACUGCCGCCAUCACCAAACCAUCAAUGCUACCAUGUCUGCCAUCGUUAUGACACCAUCACCAGCACUACUAUCACCACCAUCAAUUCCACCAGCACUGUCCUCAUCCCCACCCCUGUUCUGUGAGCCUGUUCACCAUUAUCAUUCACCAGGAUCCACCACGGUCACCACCACUUGACUAUCCUUGUCACCCCGCCCCCCCCCCGCACUGCCUUUAUUGCCCCCAUCACUGAUAUUUUCAUCACCACCAAUAUGUCAAUAUGUCACAGAUAUUUUGAGUCUCUCCUGUAUGUUAAGCUUUUGUUAAAUGCCAAGAUGUCAAGAUGUGAACAUGAUUAACAAAGGACUAGGAUUCGCAUUACCAUCAUCAGUUACUAGUGGAAACUCAUUACUGCCAUAUUAAUUGCCAUCUCUGCCUAAAUAGUUGCUUUGCAAAGAACAGCAUCUUUUAGAAUCUGUGAGCUCAUCUACAACAUGUCCUGGAACCCAGCUCCGACUUUCCGUCCCAUCUCCCUCCCCGUCCCACGGGUCCCACUCACGAAUUUCUUGUUGGCUUUGCCCAGGGGUCACCAGAGGGAACUUUUCCCACUCUCCCAUCCUUUUCCAGGCCUCUUCUGCCUGUCUGACCAACUGGAUGCUGGACUCUCAUGCUUCCCAGCUCCAAAGCGGUGAUAUAAUUAUUAUCAUGUGUUAAGUGGCCUUAGGUAAAUGUUACUUGGCUGAAAGCAGAAGAUGGGAGAAAUCCACUUCCCAUCGCCAAGGUUCUGUGGGGCUCUGGAAGCCUUUGUCUUCUGGAGACUGGGUGGGGAUUCUGAGGAAAGUGAUCUUUCCUCAGAACCAGGCCGCAGAGAGGGAAGGGGCGCCAAGCUGGGCCUCAGCUUAGCCCCCAAUGGCCCGUCAGAAGGAGGCGGGUUUCAGUCGGUCGUGAGAGCCUCUGGUGGGCGGAUGGGCUCUGCUCGGUGGGCUGUGCUCCCCAGCCGCUGUGGCUCCGUCUGCAUUGUACUCUGAUGUGCUCCACUACUUCCUAACUGUGCGGUCAUGGGCAGCUUACUGGACUUUUUUGUGCCUCAGUUUCCCCAACUGUAAAACAGAGAUAAUCACAUCUCUGCUGCUUGUGCUUCUGCUUGUGCCGAGGGGGGCGUGAGAGCUCCCACCUAAAGCCGGAGCAGAGUAAUCGCCCAUAGUCAAGGUCAUGGUAGGAGCAACAGCACAACCACUGACACUCAUGCUACAAAUUAUGACAAUGACUAGCGGCUUUAGGGGCCCAGGGUUCAAUAGCACGACGGCCAUUCUAACUCACAUUGAGUGAAUUAAAAACGGUCAUUUCCACUGUUCCUGUGGCUCUCACAGCCACGCAGCUGCCCUCCUUCAGUGGGGCUUGACAGAGGCAGUGCAGAGAUUUGGGUCCAAAUCCUGAUUCUGCCAGUUACUAGCUGUUUGACCUUCAGCAAGUCCCUUAACCUCUCUGUGCCUCAGAAGUUAUACAAUGGGGAUAAUCGUAGUGAUGACCUCACAGAGCUGUGGUGCUGCUUAAAUACUUACGUGCUUGGCACAAGGUCAGCGUGCGGCAAGUGCUUCCUGUUAUCAUUAUUAAUUAGUCAGUCAACCAAACAAAUGUGUCAGGCAUUCCAGUGGAUUCCAAGUGGAUUCAAAUAUGUUGAAAUGUGCCAGGAACACCAGUGGAGGUGAGCCUCCCCUCCGUGUUUGCUUAAGGCCUGAGAGGCGUCCGGAAAGCACAUCCCUCAGGAGCAGGGCCCGGGCUGGGGUGAGGCCAGGAGGCCCCCGGGACCCCAACUGAAGGAGGCCCUCUCGCUCCACAAGCGGGAGACUGAGUGCCUCCUUAAACUGUGCGUCCUGAGCACUUGCUUGUCCUGACCCAGGCAGGAAGCCAGACUUGCCCACGGCUCCAGUGGUCCAGUGGUCGGGACCAGGGUGCUGAGCAUCAGAAGGCCUUGCAGCAGCCAGCAAGGGGUGUAGAAAGAAAGGCGUCACUACAGUGCUGCCACCGAUGUUGGUCACGCUCUGAGAUCCCUUCGAACCCCUUGGGCAGUUGUCCUGCCUCCCAAGGUAGAAGCCAGGAGGGCGGAGUGGCAGGCUCCCGCCGCUGGGGCACAGACCAAGCUCUCAGGACAGUGGGAGGAAGGUCCUGGCCGGAGCGCCCGUGGCCCGGCCCUGGCGGCGUGGACGGCAGUGGUCUUCUGUGUGUAUUCUUGCAGGGUAAUCUGCACACUGUUCCUGGCUUUGUGGGCUGAGCUUGACUCUGGCCCUUCUGGAGACUCCGUGAAUGUCGCCUGAUGGCUGCCUGUGUCAGCUAACCUUGCUAGAGUGGGGCCUGUUGCAGGCACCCAAGAGCCCUGGCUGGCACAGACGAGAUGAGGCCUCGCGGAAGCCAGGGCAGCACAGGCCUGGAGCUGGGAGCCGGAGGGCAGCGGCCCGCUCCUUCCUUCCCCUCUCAUCUCUGUGUCUCUGUCCAUGCACACGGGUGUGGUUUCUCAGAUUUUCUGCUCACGUGGGGGCCGUGGUUACCUGGGCCAGCCCUCACAGAAAUAGACCCCGUGUCUCCUGGCCCCGGCACCAAAUUCUUGUGAGAAAUACAUCUGAAUGGCCCACUGCAGGCCAGCUGCCCAUGCCUGGUCCCGUCGCUGUGUCCAGGGAGCGGAGAUACACUGUAUGCACACUCUUGCUGGGUCCCCUCCCUUUGGCAGUUCUCAGGAAGGAGAGUUCCCUGCGAGCUGGCAGGUAUCCCUCAGGAUCCACCAGAGGCAAGAAAAUUUCUAUGGCUGAAGCCAAGGAGGCCGUUCAGAUCUUUCUGGUGGCCCCCGCCCUGUGGGGCUGGUCUCAGUGCAGGGUUGGACAUGGCUGUAAGUCAAACCGGAGAGAGCUGUUUCAUUCUGGAACACGCUGGGCCCAAGCAGCUCUGACAUGAGGCUGCUAUAACAGUGAAUUAAAAAAAAAAAAAGGACUUUUCUUACCCUGCUUCUCCCUCCCUGCCACAGAGCACACAGCAGCGACAUCUGGAGGUCCGGGUGGUGGGUACACGGGUCCUGGCGAGGGAGCGGUCACUCCCAGUGGGUGCAGUCUCUUUGGGAGGACAUGGGGAUACUCUUUGGUGAUCCUAUAAAUACCACUGAUGGGAGAAUAGGACUCUUGGGGCACGGUCCUUGGAAAAGCAGGUAGAUGUGAGUCACUGCUGCUAACGGGCAAGUGGCCCGGGGACCGCAGGUGACGACGUCCUUCCUCAGUGCCUACCGUGCUGGCCGGGGAGGCGCCCACCCUCCAGGCCCCAGGAUCCCAGGCAGUGGGCUAUUCUGCUUUAUCCACAGGAGCACACUCAGCUCUAAAUGCAUGCAGAAGUCCAAGUGGGAAGAACAAGAAAGCCUUUGGGUUGGUUUUACAGAAUCAAAGUAAAAUGUACUGUUUCAUAGACUCUAGACUUUUCUGAGGGAGAGAAUCCCCUGCUCUUAUAAAUAAGAGACUUAAUUCAUGGGUACUCACAACACCCCCGGGGACGGCCCUUCCAUCUGUGAAGUCCGUGCACGUGGGAGGGGAAGCGGACCCCCUGGCCCUUCCUGUCGGGGGCCUGCCUGCUGCCAACUGGAGAGUCUGGAGAUGCCCCCGGCCUUGUCGUGCGUCCUGGUCUCUGCCCCCGCCGCCCCUCUUCCAUUUGAGUCUCCAAAGGCAGUGGACGCCUUCUCCUGCCUCUGAGCGUUUAGGCAUGCUGAACUUCUUGCCUUUUCUGCGCUCUUGUCCACUUGGAUCGCUCCGGCCAUUCUUCCAGAGCCCUCCUCAAGCGUCCUCUCUGCAGACACUCGAGCUCACCUGCCCAGGGUCUACUCCCCGUUCUGAGGACAGAACUCUAAUGUGUGUAAGUCUGGGGGUGUCGACAGGAUGCUCUCCCUUGCAGGGAGGGAGGCCCUGUGACGUCGGCAUCGCCCUCCUCGCCAGUGCUCCGGAGUGAGUGUGAUCACGGCCACAGUGACCUCCCAGCAGACUCGUAGGUGACCUGAGACGGCAUUUUGCCAGCCUCUGGGGCUCCGGCACACACGCCCUG